GCCCGCGUAGCUCAGGCGGUAGAGCACACCCUUGGUAAGGGUGCGGUCAAGGGUUCGAGUCCCUUCGCGGGCU
RNAcentral lists this transfer RNA (73 nucleotides) under Anaerolineae bacterium. RNAcentral describes it as "tRNA-Thr". It matches the Rfam family "tRNA". From Rfam's summary of the family: Transfer RNA (tRNA) molecules are approximately 80 nucleotides in length. Their secondary structure includes four short double-helical elements and three loops (D, anti-codon, and T loops). Lineage: Bacteria; Bacillati; Chloroflexota; Anaerolineae. The record is from RNAcentral.